Equus caballus (horse) is the source of this 3245-nucleotide long non-coding RNA. The record is from Ensembl. NCBI's taxonomy places the organism in Eukaryota, Metazoa, Chordata, Mammalia, Perissodactyla, Equidae.
CCCGCCCGCUGGCCCCGCCCGUGUCCCCACCUGCCACCCGCUGGCCCCGCGCGCUGCCCGCUGUCCCCGCCUGGUGUCCCCACCUGCCGCCCGCUGUCCUCGCGUCCUGUCCGCUGGCCCCGCGCGCUGCCCGCUGUCCCCACCUGGUGUCCCCAUCUCCCGCCCGCUGUCCCCGCCUGCUGUCCCUGCCCGCUGUCUGCACCUCCUGCCCGGUGUCCCCGGGCCCCCGUCGCCCACUGUCCCCACCCAGUGUCCGACUGGUGACCCCACCCGCUCUCCCCGCCGCCCACCUGCCGCUCCUCGCGGGUUUGCCCACAGGUGCCCCGCCCUCGGUCGGAUCCCCUUGGUCGGACGUCGGAGUUCAAAGUUUAGGAUCAACACAGCUCAACCCGAGUCGGAGUUAAACCCCAAGGAGGCAGAGGGUGCGGCGCAGGCGGGGCGGCGGGACCUCGACCUCCGCUCGGGGCCGGGCCGGCCGCGUGGUCUCCCCCCAGGCCCCUGGCCCCGGGGUCUCCCUCCCCAGUCCGCAGCCCGGCUCGGGGACGCAGGAUCCGAGUGAACCAGGCCGAGCGGCCGGAGCGCCUCGUGCAGGCAGCGCGCGUGGGGCCAGGAGCCUCGACCCGCAAGACCACGGACACUUGCUGCCGGGCCCGGGGGGACCUCGCGCCUACUUGGGUCUCUGGCAGCCGGUGGACCCCAGCUCAGUUGGCCCCAAGGCCGGGGGCCCCCAUCAGGACCCGCCCCUCAGUCUGGGACGCCCGAGAACAGUCCUUCCCGUUCUGGUUCCUCCCUGGAGCCUUGCGCCCUCGGCGCGCCCGGGCCUGGUCGCCGGGCUGUCCGCUCCCGGAGCGCCCUGCGAGGUGACCACCGCGCACACCCGCUCGGAGCGGGUGUUUGAGGCCGUCCUGCUGCGCGUCCUUCCCCGCCUCCACCCACCGCCUGUGCAGGCCUUCCGCCUCUGUUCUUUUCAUGACUUUUUUAAAAAGUUGAUUACCUUUUUCCAAACCACACUUCUAUCGUAUCAAACUCGAGAACUAUUUCGACCUACAUUUUGAAGAAUCAGAAUGUUCACUUCUUUGCAAAAUAAUAAACACAUCUUUCUCUUGGUUUGGGAGUCCCAAAUGAUUAUUCUCUCAAUUAAAUUCGAUUGUGUUCCCGAUGAAUAUGGAAACAGCGAAUGGUGGAAUUCUUGCCUUCUCUUUGCUGGGUUCCAAGUUCGCUUGACUGAUGUGGAUGGAGCACCUUUCCCCUGCAAUCUUUGAGGUACUGUGAGGUACUGUGUUCCUUUAUAAGACAGGUAACAGUAUUUCCAAGCAAGGGGCAAAUUAAGUUUAAUUACAGGAGGAGUUUUGAGUGUUUUUCUGAAUAAAUUAAGAAGAUGCAGUGUUUGGAAAACUUCCAAAUCGGGAAGACACUUUGUGCCUUAAUAUCUUUCAAGUUUUGAGAGAGUCAAUUUCCUUCUUUCUUUACCUAGAAAUUAUAUUAUUUUCUUCCCUCUCUGUUGGCAUAAAGACAAUUGCUAGUGAUUACAUUACCUGAAAGGAAAAGUGAAUUUAAUAGUUGGAACAGCAGAACCGGAGAUCAGAGCUCUUUCUCUGAGUCUUCUUCCUACUGCGAUAACCUCCUUUUCAAGAAGGCUGAAGCCCGGUCUCGGACCUGAGGCAGAGGUGAUCAGGGAACAAGAUCCAAUUAUUCCAGUUCGCUAUACUGAGCAACUUAACCUGGAGAACGUGAAGAUCUCUGUCAAUGAAUCCUCUGCCUCAAAACGGAAGGAAGACAGUCUUCUAAGAGAGAACAAAUGUCAGAAAACGCCGUCUUCAUUUAACCCAAAUUCUUGAGGGUUUUUAAAUGCUUUUUAUUGUUGUUGCUGAGGAAGACUGUCCCUGAGCUAACAUCUGUGCCAGUCUUCCUCUAUUGGUAUGUGGGUCCCAGCCACGGCAUGGCUGACGAGUGGUGUAGGUUGGUGCUGGGUCUGAACCCACAAACCGGAUGGCCGAACUUAACCACUACUCCACCAGGCCGGCCCUGGCUUUUUUUUUUUUUUAGUUCCGCAUUUAGUUGCUUUCCUUCCUUCUAAUUAUUCUCAAAGUAUCUGAAGAACCUAUUGCCAUCUAGCCAUCUGUGCUUUACAUACUUACUUUUCUCUUCGUACUUCCUACUUUUAAAUUAGCUGGCUUGUCUUCUGGGCCUUUUCAUUAACUUCAUGUCUUUUUUUACUGAAAAUCAGACAUGUCAAAAGACUUCACAAAUUAAAUCAAUUUCUAUUCUAUCUUUAAUGGAACACUGUAUUUGUUAUUAGUUUCAUUUACUUGAGGUGGGUCUGCCUUAUCACAUUCUCCAGGAAGAUGAGAUAUGCUGGCGCCUCAGUUUCUGAAAAUGGGCCACCACUGACAAAGCUAGCACAGCAGCAGGGCCCCGGGACCUUGGCGUGCUGAGCCCUGAGCUCAUCAGCACCUUCCAGCUCAGUGGAGGACAGAGGAGCACAGGAAGAGAGGCUACUCCUUUCUUUCCAUCAUGUCCCACCGAUUAAAAUUAAGAUUAAAAGGUAAUGACUCAGAACCACAUUGACUUAUUGAUGUCCAUUGUCCGCAGCAGUUUUGAGGAGCGUCAUGGCCAAGCCUUGAUGAAGCUCUAUUUCAGAGAAACAUAAAACUUAUCUAAACAAGAACAUUAAAACCAUCGUUACUUAUAGUUUGUUCUCAUGGUCAACAUUCUUCAAAAAGUCCUGUGACUGAUGUUAAAAUUGCAAUAUACAAUUUCCUAUGAAUAUAUACAUUCUUAUUAAAAGACUCUAAAAAGAACUGUUACAGGAGUGCUUUGUACCCCAGGAAUAGCAGGGAAUUCAGAGCAUGUUGGGAAAAUGUUUACGCACCGUUUUAAAAAUUGGCACAUUGUGAAGCUUUUCAACAACAAACUGUCACCUUACACUUGAAUAGAUAAAUACACAGGGGAGAAAAUUAAUAUUGUAUAGUCACCUUUUCUCACUAGAAUUCAUGUUCUUGAUCGAUUCCCAAUGUUUGCAGCUAGAAUAAUCAGAUAAGAACAAACACAAAGGAAAGCAUGAGGGAUCCAACAACGAAAGCCUUGCAGAAAAAUCCUCUCUUCUUUUUCAUUCAGCUUAUAUAAUUGUAGAUUUUGUUACUGUCACAGAAAAUUGUUUCCUUUUAUUUGGUUUUAACUUAAAAAUGUUUACAGUUGUACUAAAUCAUUUCUAGCCUGCUGAUAGCAAGAAAUUAACUUUCUCG